GCCAUUCAGGCAGAGAAAGCAGAGACGGGAAAGACUGUGUACAGCUGGGGAGACCUGCUGUCAGAUGCUCUGAAGGAGGAGGAAGAGGAGGACCAGGCAGAUUGUGUUGUACGUAAACCACAGAAGGAACAAGCUUUGGUGAAUUCUCACCCAAAGAGGACCUCUAUUUUUGCCUAGUUGUUCUUUUGUUUUUUCCAUCUAAGCAUUUUAUCACUGAGUUUGUUAGAGGAGUUUGUUUGAUUAUCUAAAUACUAUCAUGGGGCAUUCAAAUUAAAAUCUGUGAUUAAUUCUGUUCAUUAUGGAAAA
Molecule: long non-coding RNA, 306 nt
Organism: Mauremys mutica (yellowpond turtle)
Lineage: Eukaryota; Metazoa; Chordata; Testudines; Geoemydidae
Exons: 2
Source: RefSeq, a predicted model, not a curated record